RNAcentral lists this ribosomal RNA (253 nucleotides) under uncultured bacterium. Its description in RNAcentral is "partial 16S ribosomal RNA". It matches the Rfam family "Bacterial small subunit ribosomal RNA", at positions 524 to 776 of the family's 1533-position model. The record is from RNAcentral.
UACGUAGGGGGCAAGCGUUGUCCGGAAUCAUUGGGCGUAAAGCGCGCGUAGGCGGCCCGAUAAGUCUGCUGUGAAAGUCCAGGGCUCAACCCUGGAAUGCCGGUGGAUACUGUCGGGCUAGAGUUCGGAAGAGGCAAGUGGAAUUCCUGGUGUAGCGGUGGAAUGCGCAGAUAUCAGGAGAAACACCUAUAGCGAAGGCAGCUUGCUGGGACGACACUGACGCUAAGGCGCGAAAGCGUGGGGAGCGAACAGG